GUGUGAACCCAGGCAGGUCAUCCCGUCUCUGGGCCUCAUCUCUUCGUUGUAAAAUAUGUCAAGAACAGCAACAACAAAAAUGACAACAAAAAAGCCAAAGAUCAUAAGAAGAUGCUCAAAGGGUGAAGAGGAAGGAAAUCAGAAGACAAGCCUCUGUUCUUCAUUACUUCCUGGGUCACGAAGGGCUCCCUCACUCUCCACCUCCCGCCCAAGAGUGCCCAUUUCCACGCCCAGAAACAGCAAUGGAGGUGCUAGGACCCAGCAAGUUUCAGAAUUCAUCUUCUCCCAUAAAACUAUGGCUCUUAGUUCUGGAGCAGAUAAAAAUAAAGGCAGAUGACGAAGCCCACAAACGUUU
RNAcentral lists this long non-coding RNA (355 nucleotides) under Equus caballus (horse). Its description in RNAcentral is "lncRNA (ENSECAG00000028391.2)". The record is from RNAcentral. Lineage: Eukaryota; Metazoa; Chordata; Mammalia; Perissodactyla; Equidae.